Brassica rapa (field mustard) is the source of this 3442-nucleotide long non-coding RNA. RefSeq lists it as uncharacterized. The record is from RefSeq and is a predicted model, not a curated record. NCBI's taxonomy places the organism in Eukaryota, Viridiplantae, Streptophyta, Magnoliopsida, Brassicales, Brassicaceae.
GGUUCAGACCCGGUCGAACCACAAAGACUCAUGACCAAAAAAAAUUUUGGUUUGCUAGCCGGUCCGGUUUUAAAAACACUGGAUUGGAUUAGUUGAAGUCGGUUGUAUAAUGUUUCCUUUUUACAUUUUAUUUCCUUUCUUCUAUUUGUAUUAUCCUUUUUUUUUGUUCUUUGACUUUGAGAGUUUAAUUUACUUUUUCAUAGACUUGUUAUAUGACAUCCUUUUCUAAUUUUUUUUGUCUUUUUACCUUUACACAAACUUUCCAUCUUUUAAUACAAUUAUCUUUUUACGCUAUCUUCGAUUUUUGUGUGUGUUUAAGUUGUUAUAGUUUUGUUCUUUUCAGUUAUUUUGAUAUGUUAUAAAAUAAUUGUGUAAUAAAUUUUUUAAAAUAUAAAUAAAAUACAUUUUAUAGAGAAAUAGCCUUAAAUAAGCAUAAAACAAGUUUUUGUUCUUAAAUUAGCAUUUAUAGGUCAAAUGACAAAGACUAUAGUAAAAUUAUCCCCAUUCUCUACAUAUAUAUAUAUAUUUCUUUUUCUAAAAUGUACAAAAACUUUUUGAAAUUUCUUUUAAAACUUUUUUAACCUUUAAUAAACCUAUUUUGGUCACUUUCACUUUUGAAAGCUAUUUAGGAGACAAAAAAAAAUUAAUAUUAUUUAGGAGAUUUUCCCUUUUUAUAUGUAUCAAACUUUAAUAAAUAAUAUUUUAUCUUAAUUAAUCUACAUUAUAUAUUUCAUAUACUCUAUAACUCUAAAUUUGUAAAUUUCACAUUUAUAUAUUCAAUACAUUUAAUACACCCCAUAUUUAUACGUUUUUUAAUCUUUGAAAGUAUCCCAAAUCUAUAAAGAGCUUCAGACUAAAUCUUUAAAAGGGUUGCGGCCGACGGAUAGACUCACUCCGAAUGUUUAAAUGGACCGUAUUGUAGAUUCAUUUCCACGCGCCACAAGAGUAAAAUAUAAUGAGAUGCCUUCGACCCCGAAUUUGUUAACAAUCCAAAGUUUGUCUACCACUUGAAAACCACCAUGUGAUUAAACUUCACAUUAAUUUAACUAAAAUUAUGUAUAUAAAUAUAAAUUUAUUGAAAUAUUAUUUAUUUUUAUUCUGUUGAACUUAUUUGAAAGGAUAAAAGCAACAGUGGUCAGUGUUAAUAUAUUCUACUUGCCAACUUAAGAGUAAAGUUUAGAGUACUUUUUCCACUUUAUCAACAGUGCUUAGGGUAAAAGUAAAAAAAAAAUGAUUUUUUGUCUGAUUGGUAAACUUUUAGCUGAAUUUAGGUAAAAUACUCUUACUCCAAAACAUUUACUCUAACAUGUAUAUACAGUCAUACCCUUAAUGGUGGAAAGUUCUUGAUCUGCUUUUCGAUCAAAAUACCUGAAAAUAUUUUUUUAACACAAUAAAUCUUUGGAAACACCUAAAACACUAUGGAAAUUAUAUAAAAGACUUACAAAUUAACCCCAUUUGAAAUCAGGGUACUGUAUUUAAAUUAGUAAAACUUAAGAGCCACUAGGUUCUGGUCCGCGCUAUGCGCGGAUAAUGUUUCAAUAUUUGUUUUGGAAAUAUAGCGCGGAUAAUGUUUCAAUAUUUGUUUUGGAAAUAUAGAUUAUAUUUUAAAAUUUUGGUGUUUCAAUUGAUUAGAGGUCGAAACUAUUAUAAUUUAAUAUUAAAAUUAUUUUUAAGUUGAUAAAUGAAAAGAAAAAGUUACGAAAGAGUGAUGUUUUAAUUAAGAAUUUUUUUAGUUUUCUACUUUUCUUUGUUAUUAGUUUCUAUUUACAACAAUCUUUAAAAAUUGUUACGUUGUUUUCAUAUAUUAUGUUUUCUAAAAACAUCAUAUUAGUAAUAGUAUAUUUUAAAAGUAUAACAGAUGUACUGUUCCAUUAUUUGAUUCAAAGUUGUUCAUUUAUAUAUAUUGAAAUAAUAUAAAGUUUAAGUGUAUAUUUGUAUGUCAUAUUUGCCAUUUAGUGUAGCCAUAGUGAUUUUUAUCGUUUUAUUGUUUUGGUUUAUUUUUAUUAUGCGCUUUAACUUUUUUUAAAAUAUUAAUAUUUUCUAAUUGAGAGUUGUUAAUGAUAGACCAUAUUGAUUUGAAAUAUUUCUAUAAAUACUGAUUAUAUAUAUAAUGUUUAAUAUUUUAGUAAUGUGUAGAUAAAAGAAGUUAUCAUAUGAAUUUUAACUAACUUAAUUUUUUUGAACAGAAUGAUUAGUAUUCUUAACUAUUAUAUUUCUUUUGGUAGCAUAUUUGUAUUUCUAUUAGUGAUUUUUUUAAAUUGGUUUCCAUAACAUGUAAUCUUUGGUAGAAUUCAUUGAGUUAGUAGAACUUAGUUUUUUGGUUGGUAUUUGAAGAUUUUUAUGAAACUAAUCAGUUAUCUUACUGUUUUUUUCGUUUAAUAGUUUUUAGCUGUAUACUAUGGUAUAUUUUUAUAUGUAGUAACUAUUUUUAAAAUAAUGAGGAUACAUAACGAUUAAAAAGUUAUAUCAGCUAAUCACAUAUUCAAAAGAAUGAUUAAAAUUUAAAAACUUGACAUUGCUUUAUGAAGGUAAUGGAUAUAUGUGAUUCUGAUUUGUUUCUAUAAUAGUUGUUUUUACUUGGUUGAUGUUAACUUUCUAAUGAGUUACUAUUUGAUAUCGAUUUAAUUUUAACAAAGCUUAUUUUGAACUAAAAUAUGUAGCUAUAUUUUCUUAUUCGGUGUAUUAGAAGCGUAAGAUUUUAUAAAUAAAAAUGAGUAUGCUUAAUAUAAUGAUUACUCGAGUCAUUUACAAUGUACAUUUUAAAUUGUAGUUUUAAAAUUACCCUUUUACUUUAAAAUUGACAUAUAAUAUAAAUUUAGAACAUAUGAAUUUUCUUUUAAGAUACAAAAAAAUUCUAAAAUGAAUUGUUUCACUUUAUUAAAUUAAAAGGUAAUUUGAUAUUCUGUGUGUUAUUCUUAUUUGCCUAUUUAAAAACUAUUAUAAUUUGAUGGAAAACAAUACAAUUUAGAAAUACAUAAAUAGUUAUAUAAACAGAUUAUAGAUACAAAUAUAAGAGAAUUAUAGAUAUUAACUUUAUUUAUUUGAGAAGUUAACAACUGAAACAUUAGAUUUUUUUUUUUGCAUAUUUUUUAAAGUAUAUCUCAUAUAUUUACCACAUUCAGAGUGUUGCAAAUAAAAGGUCUUGUCAACCUUCCUAGAAAUGAAGUAAUUCUAUGGGUGCCACAUAAGACAAAAUAUUAUCAAAUCUUUAUUAUUUAAAAUCAUUAAUUAUCAUAUAUAUUAUAAUUCCGUAUGUUCUAUUUAAGAAAACAAUGAAGACUAUUUUUAUAUUAAUAAUUAAUUAUAUGAUUAUGGUUAAUGAACAGUAUAAUAUAUGUUUAGAUGAACCAAAUUAUUUUUCUAAGCUUAAUUUUCGUGAUGACAUGUGUCAUGGUUCAAAGGUUGUAAUGUUUCUCUUUUAAUAUAUAGAGGAUGUCUACGU